Molecule: ribosomal RNA, 389 nt
Filed under: uncultured bacterium
Lineage: Bacteria
Description: bacterial SSU rRNA
Rfam family: Bacterial small subunit ribosomal RNA
Source: RNAcentral
AUUGAACGCUGGCGGCAUGCCUUACACAUGCAAGUCGAACGGUAACGCGGGGCAACCUGGCGACGAGUGGCGAACGGGUGAGUAAUGCAUCGGAACGUGCCCAGUAGUGGGGGGAUAGCCCGGCGAAAGCCGGAUUAAUACCGCAUACGACCUACGGGUGAAAGCGGGGGACUCGCAAGAGCCUCGCGCUAUUGGAGCGGCCGAUGUCAGAUUAGGUAGUUGGUGGGGUAAAAAGCCUACCAAGCCGACGAUCUGUAGCUGGUCUGAGAGGACGACCAGCCACACUGGGACUGAGACACGGCCCAGACUCCUACGGGAGGCAGCAGUGGGGAAUUUUGGACAAUGGGCGCAAGCCUGAUCCAGCCAUGCCGCGUGCGGGAAGAAGGCCU